AUUGAAAUGGCAGAAAUCAAUGCAAAGGCUUUAAGAGCCUUGUAUACCUUUUUAAGGUUUUCUC
RNAcentral lists this transfer RNA (64 nucleotides) under Odontoglaja guamensis. RNAcentral describes it as "tRNA-Leu". The record is from RNAcentral. Lineage: Eukaryota; Metazoa; Mollusca; Gastropoda; Cephalaspidea; Aglajidae.